UGCUAUUUAGUUUAUUAAAAUGUUGAUUUUGUAGUUCAAAGUUAAGGGUGUGCCUCUUUUUAGCAA
Molecule: transfer RNA, 66 nt
Filed under: Botrylloides giganteus
Lineage: Eukaryota; Metazoa; Chordata; Ascidiacea; Stolidobranchia; Styelidae
Description: transfer RNA-Thr
Source: RNAcentral